UAGGGAAUCUUCGGCAAUGGGGGCAACCCUGACCGAGCAACGCCGCGUGAGUGAAGAAGGUUUUCGGAUCGUAAAGCUCUGUUGUAAGUCAAGAACGGGUGUGAGAGUGGAAAGUUCACACUGUGACGGUAGCUUACCAGAAAGGGACGGCUAACUACGUGCCAGCAGCCGCGGUAAUACGUAGGUCCCGAGCGUUGUCCGGAUUUAUUGGGCGUAAAGCGAGCGCAGGCGGUUUGAUAAGUCUGAAGUUAAAGGCUGUGGCUCAACCAUAGUUUGCUUUGGAAACUGUCAAACUUGAGUGCAGAAGGGGAGAGUGGAAUUCCAUGUGUAGCGGUGAAAUGCGUAGAUAUAUGGAGGAACACCGGUGGCGAAAGCGGCUCUCUGGUCUGUAACUGACGCUGAGGCUCGAAAGCGUGGGGAGCGAACAGGAUUAGAUACCCUGGUAGUCCACGCCGUAAACGAUGAGUGCUAGGUGUUGGAUCCUCUCCGGGGAUUCAGUGCCGCAGCUAACGCAUUAAGCACUCCCGC
This 528-nucleotide ribosomal RNA is filed under the name uncultured bacterium. RNAcentral describes it as "partial 16S ribosomal RNA". It matches the Rfam family "Bacterial small subunit ribosomal RNA", at positions 355 to 872 of the family's 1533-position model. The record is from RNAcentral.